RNAcentral lists this ribosomal RNA (253 nucleotides) under uncultured bacterium. RNAcentral's name for it is "partial 16S ribosomal RNA". It matches the Rfam family "Bacterial small subunit ribosomal RNA", at positions 524 to 776 of the family's 1533-position model. The record is from RNAcentral.
UACGUAGGCAGCAAGCGUUGUUCGGAAUUACUGGGCGUAAAGGGUGCGUAGGCGGCGCGGUAAGUCGGGUGUGAAAUCUCGGAGCUUAACUCCGAAACUGCAUUCGAUACUGCCGUGCUUGAGGACUGGAGAGGAGACUGGAAUUUACGGUGUAGCGGUGAAAUGCGUAGAUAUCGUAAGGAAGACCAGUGGCGAAGGCGGGUCUCUGGACAGUUCCUGACGCUGAGGCACGAAGGUCAGGGGAGCAAACGGG